UGAAAAAAGAAAGUAUAUAAUAUAAAAAAUAAUUAUUUUAUAGAAAAAAUUAUUUGAUAGAGAUAGUAAAUUUUUUAUGAAAUCUAAGUAAUAUUAUAUAAAUAAUGUUCUGUAAAGAAAGUUUAUGAAUUCUUUCUAUAGUAAAAAUUAAUAUUUGUACCUUUUGUAUCAUGGUUUUUUAAGAAUAAAUUUGAUAAUAAUUAAAUUACCCGAAAUGUAGUGAGUUAUUUUAGUAUAAGUAAUUAGUGUUGUAAAAUUAAUGAAAAAUAUUAAAAUAGGGGUGAUAUGUUUAUCGAACUAUGUGAUAGCUGGUUGUUUAGGAAAAUUAUUUAAGUAAUGAAUUAAAUUUAUUUAAAGUAAUAAAAUAUAUUUUAAAUUAGGUUUAAUAUUUAGAUUUAAGAGGAUUAGCUCUUUUAUAAUUUAUAAAAUUUAUUGAGAAAUUUUUAUUUAAAUAGGCUUAAAAUUAGUCAUUUUAUUAAGUUUGUUAAAAAAUAUUAUUAAAUUAUUUAAUAAUUAUUAUAUGUAAUUUUUAGAUUUAUAAUACUAAAUAAAUUAAUUAAGUUAUGUUUAUUAGUUUUAUUAUGGAAAAAUGAGUAUUUAGAAAAUGAAUUUUAUUAUGAAUUUUAUGUAUAUAAAGAAAUAUUUAAUUUAGAUAUGUGGAGAAUAAAUAAAUUUUUAGAAAGGAACUUGGCAAAACUAGCUUCGCCUGUUUAUCAAAAACAUGGCUCUUUGCAAAAAAUAAUUGUUGAAUAAAGAGUCUGACCUGCCCAGUGAUUUAUUUAACGGCCGCGGUACUCUGACCGUGCAAAGGUAGCAUAAUCAUUCGCUUUUUAAUUGAAGGCUUGUAUGAAUGGUUUGACGAGAGCUAAACUGUCUUUUUAAGAAUUAUUAGAAAUUAAUUUUUAGGUGAAAAGGCCUAAAUUAAACUAUAGGACGAGAAGACCCCUUUGAGCUUUAAUGAAAUUUUAAAAUAAUUAUUAUCAUAAAAUGAUUUGAAUAAUUUUAUUUUUUAUUAAUUUUUAGUCGGGGAAAACAGAGGAAUAAAAGAAGCUUCCUCUAUUUAUUAAUAAAAAUUUAUAUUGACAAAUAUUAAAUAAGAUCCAUAAAAUGUGAUUAGAGGAUUAAGUUACCAUGGGGAUAACAGCGUAAUAUCUUCUAGAGAGUUCUUAUUGAAAGAAGGGUUUGCGACCUCGAUGUUGGACUAGGACAUCCUAAAGGUGCAGUAAUUUUUAAGGGUUGGUCUGUUCGACCAUUAAAGUCCUACAUGAUCUGAGUUCAGACCGGCGUGAGCCAGGUUGGUUUCUAUCUUUAGUAAAAAAUUUUUCUUACUAGUACGAAAGGAUUGUUUUGAAGAAAUAAGUAAUAUUUUUUAGAUGAUUUAUAUUAAUUCUUUUGUAAGUUAGGGAGAUU
Molecule: ribosomal RNA, 1410 nt
Filed under: Pseudococculinidae sp. MNHN-IM-2013-40847
Lineage: Eukaryota; Metazoa; Mollusca; Gastropoda; Lepetellida; Pseudococculinidae
Description: 16S ribosomal RNA
Rfam family: Archaeal large subunit ribosomal RNA (bases 625-1410)
Source: RNAcentral